Molecule: long non-coding RNA, 1492 nt
Organism: Bufo gargarizans (Asiatic toad)
Lineage: Eukaryota; Metazoa; Chordata; Amphibia; Anura; Bufonidae
Exons: 2
Source: RefSeq, a predicted model, not a curated record
GCAGUGGCAAUUUUUUUUUUUUUUAAUGCUGCGGCACUGGAUUUUGUAUGUGUCCAGUUAAGCCUUUGGUUUGGAAGUUCUGAGAUAUCUGUGAUAAAAGCUGAAAAAAGUAUGUUUGCUCACUGAGGUAAUAAUAAUAAAAAAAAAAUCACAUGAAAAAAUUACAUAGGGGAUUUUUUUUAUAUUUUUCUUUCCAAGACUCACAUGGUGUCAAAGUUCCAAAAGGGCUAAUUUGACCCUAACACUCGGUGGCAAUGCUGUUAUCGUUCAGAGAUGCCCAGUAUCAAACAAUUCCUAAUAAACCCUACCUGAGCCAAUCAAUGAAGUCAAAAACUGUCCUCCCGUUCUUUCAUUGAAGCCAGUCCAGAUCAGCCCAUUGCUUUCAAAAUCUCAGAUAGUUAAAAGAAACGCAACUCCAAAUGCAGUAAAGCUACGGUCCAGCAUGGCACGUUUCAGGACUUAAUCCGGCUACGGUGAAUUGCAGCCUGAUGUCCUUUCAGUAUGAGGAGGAGAGUAUGAACACGUGGUGGCUUUAGCAGUACUCUCAAGUUGUGCAUGGAUCUGCUUAGUUAUACGCGUCACACAAUUACGAGUAGUCCGUUCAUUAGGGCGCGUCGGAUUAUACCGUUACGCCCAGUGUUUGUACUGAACACGUAUACAAUGCCAGAACCUGUAUAAUGGAGAUUGUACUCAUGAGCCUUAGUCUUCUGUGUGCAGUAUGUAAAAGCGAGCGGAACUAGUACGUCUUCUAGGGUGAUAUCUCUAACCAUUAUGUAUGCAAUAUGAAAAAAAUUUAAUACACAUUAACAAAAAAAACAUUAAUUUAGUAUAUGUACAUAGCGUACAUUUGUCUUCUGCAUCCUAUUGUAACACAAUAUUGUAUGUGUGUCCUCCACAAUCUUAGAUCUCAAGCGCAUGGCCGUAUUUUAUCAUCUUACAACCGGAGUUGUACGGUGUCAUAACACCUUGCCCUUAAUGUACCACAAUCUUGAUUUCAGAGUGUAUUUUUCCCUCUUAUUCUCAUUCUUUCGAAUUGAAAGAAAUGAUGGUGUGCUUCAUUGUCUGCUGUUUGUAUGGAAGCAGUGGUGGCUGGGCUUUCUAAUACAGCAUCUCUGCCAUGGGCAUGAGGCACUGCCUUGAUGCCAACUAGGUUUAGUUGCAUGGCACUUACCUGAUCGUUCACGUUGGUGCCGUAUACAUAGAGUAGCCUGCUGCGUCCCAGUAAACAUCAACAGAUUUCAAUAUACAGGUUGCUCUCGACUUUUACUGCCUGAAGAAGAAAUACGAAGCAAUAAUCUCUCCCAUGUGAUGACAGCUUCUUAUUUUACUGGCAGGUUUACAGUUUGUGGCUUCCAUGCACCUAUAAUCCAAUCCAGAAUACCUUCUGUGUGUGCAAACUAAAACAAAACAAAAAUCUGUUUGGAAGUCUGUCCUAUUUUAAAGAACAUGUUUGCUUGUAUGUUGUCAGUAAACAUUAAACUGCUGAUUUCUU